RNAcentral lists this ribosomal RNA (436 nucleotides) under uncultured bacterium. Its description in RNAcentral is "bacterial SSU rRNA". It matches the Rfam family "Bacterial small subunit ribosomal RNA", at positions 355 to 796 of the family's 1533-position model. The record is from RNAcentral.
UGGGGAAUCUUGCACAAUGGGCGAAAGCCUGAUGCAGCAACGCCGCGUGGGGGAUGAAGCUUUUCGGAGUGUAAACCCCUUUCGACCCGGAAGAAAGCCCGCAAGGGUUUGACGGUACGGGUAUAAGAAGCCCCGGCUAACUACGUGCCAGCAGCCGCGGUAAUACGUAGGGGGCCAGCGUUGCUCGGAAUUACUGGGCGUAAAGGGUCUGUAGGCGGUGUAGCAAGUCGAGAGUGAAAUCCCUGGGCUUAACCCAGGGGCUGCUAACGAAACUGCUAUGCUAGAGUGUGAGAGAGGCAAGUGGAAUUACGGGUGUAGCGGUGAAAUGCGUAGAUAUCCGUAGGAACAUCCGAGGCGAAGGCGGCUUGCUGGAUCACAACUGACGCUGAGAGACGAAAGCUAGGGGAGCAAACAGGAUUAGAUACCCCCGUAGUCC